Molecule: transfer RNA, 88 nt
Filed under: Mycobacterium koreense
Lineage: Bacteria; Bacillati; Actinomycetota; Actinomycetes; Mycobacteriales; Mycobacteriaceae
Description: Mycolicibacillus koreensis tRNA-Leu
Rfam family: tRNA
About the family: Transfer RNA (tRNA) molecules are approximately 80 nucleotides in length. Their secondary structure includes four short double-helical elements and three loops (D, anti-codon, and T loops). Further hydrogen bonds mediate the characteristic L-shaped molecular structure. tRNAs have two regions of fundamental functional importance: the anti-codon, which is responsible for specific mRNA codon recognition, and the 3' end, to which the tRNAs corresponding amino acid is attached (by aminoacyl-tRNA synthetases). tRNAs cope with the degeneracy of the genetic code in two manners: having more than one tRNA (with a specific anti-codon) for a particular amino acid; and 'wobble' base-pairing, i.e. permitting non-standard base-pairing at the 3rd anti-codon position.
Source: RNAcentral
GCGUCCGUGGCGGAACAGGCAGACGCGCCGGACUCAAAAUCCGGUUCCCCUCGCCGGGAGUGCGGGUUCGAUCCCCGCCGGACGCACC